Molecule: long non-coding RNA, 763 nt
Filed under: Ananas comosus (pineapple)
Lineage: Eukaryota; Viridiplantae; Streptophyta; Magnoliopsida; Poales; Bromeliaceae
Description: long non-coding RNA (ACOM_LNC004666)
Source: RNAcentral
AUAUAGAGAGAGAGAGAGAGAGAGAGAGAGAGAGAGAGUUGGUUUAGAAUAUUAUUGAUAACAAAAUAUUUUUUUGCUAUCAAAUUUUUAGUUUUUGAAUCAAUUUCUUUCAUCAUUUUUAACUAUUGGAUUAAAUAUUAUAAUCAAGUGAGGAUCACUCAAUCCUAGAGUAGCGUUUGGUUCGGGAACAAGGGGGGAAAUAAGUCAUUGUUCUCCCCCUUUGUUUCCAAAUGUGAUGUUUGGUAUUCUGGAACAGUAGUUCCAGAGUUUUAAGAACAAGUUGAACUUGUUUCUUGACGAGAACAAUGUUAAUUAAAAUCUAAAUUUAAUUUUAAUGAUAGUAAAUUAUUAAUUAAUCUAAUUAAUAUAUUUAAAUUAUUAUUUAUUAUUUUAAUAAAUAAUAAUAAUUUACUAUUCUCAUGAGUCCGGUUAUGGUGCUUGUAAAAGCACUAAAUACUUGGUACUUAUAAAUUUUUUACUGUUAAAUUUACUCCUCUGACCAUUUUCAACCGUUUGAUUAUAUUAUUCAACCAACCACCUACUCAACCCUAAGGGGUCCAGAUCAUUCUAGCCGCAUAUUUCUUAAUUGAAUGGUUAAAAAUCUACGAGUACUAAUAAUUUGGUACUUUUAAAAAUAUAGAAGCUCAAUUCCUAUUUCUCAUAUUAUUAAUAAUAUUUGUGUCUCUAUAUUUAUAUAUGUAUGUACGUGUGUGUGUGUGUAUAUAUAUAUGUAUGGAUGCUUAAGAUAUAAAAUAGAGAUGGG